UACGAAGGGGGCUAGCGUUGUUCGGAAUUACUGGGCGUAAAGCGUGCGCAGGCGGCUUCUCAAGUCAGGGGUGAAAGCCCAGAGCUCAACUCUAGAAUUGCCUUUGAGACUGAGUGGCUUGAGUACGGGAGAGGUGAGUGGAAUUCCCAGUGUAGAGGUGAAAUUCGUAGAUAUUGGGAAGAACACCGGUGGCGAAGGCGGCUCACUGGCCCGUAACUGACGCUCAUGCACGACAGCGUGGGGAUCAAACAGG
RNAcentral lists this ribosomal RNA (253 nucleotides) under uncultured bacterium. Its description in RNAcentral is "partial 16S ribosomal RNA". It matches the Rfam family "Bacterial small subunit ribosomal RNA", at positions 524 to 776 of the family's 1533-position model. The record is from RNAcentral.